This 460-nucleotide ribosomal RNA is filed under the name uncultured bacterium. RNAcentral describes it as "partial 16S ribosomal RNA". It matches the Rfam family "Bacterial small subunit ribosomal RNA", at positions 338 to 795 of the family's 1533-position model. The record is from RNAcentral.
CCUACGGGUGACAGCAGUGAGGAAUAUUGGUCAAUGGACGCAAGUCUGAACCAGCCAUGCCGCGUGAAGGAUGACUGCCCUAUGGGUUGUAAACUGCUUUUAUAUGGGGGUAAAUUUCGAUACGUGUACCGUUUUGUAUGUACCGUAUGAAUAAGGAUCGGCUAACUCCGUGCCAGCAGCCGCGGUAAUACGGAGGAUUCGAGCGUUAUCCGGAUUUAUUGGGUUUAAAGGGUGCGUAGGCGGAUCGAUAAGUUAGUUGUGAAAGUUCGCGGCUCAACCGUGACAUUGCAUUUGAUACUGUCUGGCUUGAGUGCAGUAGCGGUAGGCGGAAUGUGUGGUGUAGCGGUGAAAUGCUUAGAUAUCAUGCAGAACUCCGAUUGCGAAGGCAGCUUACCAAACUGCAACUGACGUUGAGGCUCGAAAGUGUGGGUAGCAAACAGGAUUAGAUACCCCUGUAGUC